Non-coding RNA from Coffea arabica (coffee), 1847 nucleotides. The record is from RefSeq and is a predicted model, not a curated record. Lineage: Eukaryota; Viridiplantae; Streptophyta; Magnoliopsida; Gentianales; Rubiaceae.
CCUAAAUUCAAAAUUUCCAUCUUGGUCGCCGCUUUCCCGAUCCUCGACGCCGAAACCAUCUCUUAAUCUCCAGUGAAUAAUGGAAAAUCAACGGUCAUUACCACCAGUGGAAGGCGAAGCAGAAGAAGCUACACUCAACAACAGCUCUCUAAUUAGCACUUUUUGUGAAAUCACUGCCACUUCUAAAUCGGAAGCCCAAUUUUACUUAGAAUCCCACAAUUUUGAUCUCAAAGCCACCAAUCCCUCCACCGUAGUCGCCACUGCUGCCGUGAAUGAUACUCAGCAACCUUGAUCGCCAACUCAGUCUGAGUCCUACUCUCCUUCACAGUCUCAAUCUCAGUCUUCGAGUCCUUCUCACUCUCGAUCACUAUCUCCUCUACCUCCUUGCCAUUCUCAGUAUAAUCUAAAGUCGUCGAAUUCGAAAAGCUCCAUCGGUGGUACCGGAGCUAGUGGGCGGAGAGGAGAAGUGAGACUAGGACGCUUGUUGAUCUCAAUCGGUAGCCGAGACGUGAUGAUGGGUCUGAUGACGACUCUGAUGAGCAUCAAGAGUAUUAUACCAGUGGAGAAAAAAAGUGGAAUGCUUGUUCAAGAUCCAUUCAAAGCAAAUGACAUUGAUGCAAUAUUCAAUCAAGCAAGGUAGGCCGAAGCUGUUGAUAGAGCUGUUGAGCACCUUCGGCCGUCUUCAAGUUCAAGAAGCUUUACAGGAACUGCAAGAUUACUUUCUGAUGAUGAUCCCUUGCCGAGAUUAGAUGAUCCAGCAAAUGCUUCCUUUUUGGAGGUACUGUUGGAAGUAAAAAGGAAGUUUGUAGGCUUUUUUUUUUCAGCCUCUCCAAAAACUUGGUCAUUUUCACCAUCAUAUACAUAUUAUCAAUAUGACCCUUUGGUGUGCCAUUCACUUGAUUUAACUAGUCCUCAAUGAUUUUCGUUGGGUGUACGAAAUGCUAAAGGUUCAGUAUUCUUAACAUUUCUCUACAGUUUGAUUGUCAAUUCUGUUGAGUUCAGAGUCUAAUUGCAUCUUGUAAUAAAAACUCAGACAUGGAACUGGACCAAAUUAUGCCAAUAUUAGUCUUGACUACUGCUUCUUGUUAUUAAUUGUUUAUGUCAAUGCAGAGCAUCGGGAGGUCUGAGUGCCCCAGGGAGUUGCAGCCAGCAAAUAAAGGCAUUGCAAUCCAUGUUAAUCUCAUAAGAAAGGAAGAAAACUACACUAUAUGUGCUUACUCCUCCAUCUUCCCAUUGUUGGUCUUCAACCUGUGCUACUACAAUUUCACAUUGAUUUUUCACUGCCUCUUCCUUGAUUCCCUCUUAUACUUUUUAACUGAAAUAAUUCUCCAGGUACCAGACAGGGGUCAUCUCCCAUUUCAGGGAGUUGGAAGAACCUUAGAUAGCAGCAGCAAUAUCACAUCCAUGGAGCCAACUGUUGUUGUCUCUUCGCUUAUUACUGCUCCAGCCCCAACCACAAGCCUAGUAGUUGAUCAAACACUACCUUCUAUGUCGAUUCAGCUAAAGUUGGCAGAUGGGACAUGAAAGGUAUCAUGUUUUAACUAUCACCACAUGAUAAGAGAUAUCCGCGGCUUCAUAGAAGCGUCAAGGCCUAGUGGAUCCGGGGCUUACCAACUUCAAACGGUUGGGUUUCCAUCGAAAUAGUUGACUGCUUUGGAUCAGACUAUUGAACAAGCUGGACUGGCAAACUCAGUUGUUAUCCAAAAACUUAAGAUUUAAAUUAGGCAGAUUAUACCAGUUACAUUGUGAAGCUGAAAUCUAUUUUACAUCAUUUGAUUUAUUAUUUUUUUGUAUACAUGGAAUUCAACUUAUGUUGCAUCAUAAUAUAUAGUUGCUUUCUUCGAUUA